GACGUAGGGUGCAAGCGUUGUCCGGAUUUAUUGGGCGUAAAGAGCGCGUAGGCGGCCGAGUAAGUCCGACGUGAAAUCUGGAGGCUCAACCUCCAGCGGUCGUUGGAAACUACUCGGCUAGAGUCCGGAAGAGGAGAGUGGAAUUCCUGGUGUAGCGGUGAAAUGCGCAGAUAUCAGGAAGAACACCGAUGGCGAAAGCAGCUCUCUGGGACGGUACUGACGCUGAGGCGCGAAAGCGUGGGGAGCGAACAGG
This 253-nucleotide ribosomal RNA is filed under the name uncultured bacterium. RNAcentral describes it as "partial 16S ribosomal RNA". It matches the Rfam family "Bacterial small subunit ribosomal RNA", at positions 524 to 776 of the family's 1533-position model. The record is from RNAcentral.